RNAcentral lists this ribosomal RNA (1240 nucleotides) under Listeria monocytogenes. RNAcentral's name for it is "partial 23S ribosomal RNA". It matches the Rfam family "Bacterial large subunit ribosomal RNA", at positions 1 to 1233 of the family's 2925-position model. Lineage: Bacteria; Bacillati; Bacillota; Bacilli; Caryophanales; Listeriaceae. The record is from RNAcentral.
UUGGUUAAGUUAGAAAGGGCGCACGGUGGAUGCCUUGGCACUAGGAGCCGAAGAAGGACGGGACUAACACCGAUAUGCUUUGGGGAGCUGUACGUAAGCGUUGAUCCAGAGAUUUCCGAAUGGGGGAACCCACUAUCUUUAGUCGGAUAGUAUCCUUACGUGAAUACAUAGCGUGAGGAAGGCAGACCCAGGGAACUGAAACAUCUAAGUACCUGGAGGAAGAGAAAGAAAAAUCGAUUUCCUGAGUAGCGGCGAGCGAAACGGAAAGAGCCCAAACCAAGAAGCUUGCUUCUUGGGGUUGUAGGACACUCUAUACGGAGUUACAAAAGAAAGUUAUAAAUGAAGCGGUCUGGAAAGGCCCGCCAAAGACGGUAACAGCCCGGUAGUUGAAAUGGCUUUCCCUCCAGAGUGGAUCCUGAGUACGGCGGAACACGUGAAAUUCCGUCGGAAUCCGGGAGGACCAUCUCCCAAGGCUAAAUACUCCCUAGUGACCGAUAGUGAACCAGUACCGUGAGGGAAAGGUGAAAAGCACCCCGGAAGGGGAGUGAAACAGUUCCUGAAACCGUGUGCCUACAAGUAGUUAGAGCCCGUUAAUGGGUGAUAGCGUGCCUUUUGUAGAAUGAACCGGCGAGUUACGAUUUGUUGCAAGGUUAAGCGGAAAAAGCGGAGCCGUAGCGAAAGCGAGUCUGAAUAGGGCGCAUAAGUAACAGGUCGUAGACCCGAAACCAGGUGAUCUACCCAUGUCCAGGAUGAAGGUAAGGUAAUACUUACUGGAGGUCCGAACCCACGCACGUUGAAAAGUGCGGGGAUGAGGUGUGGGUAGCGGAGAAAUUCCAAUCGAACUUGGAGAUAGCUGGUUCUCUCCGAAAUAGCUUUAGGGCUAGCCUCGAGGUAAAGAGUCAUGGAGGUAGAGCACUGUUUGGACUAGGGGCCCUUCUCGGGUUACCGAAUUCAGAUAAACUCCGAAUGCCAUGUACUUAUACUCGGGAGUCAGACUGCGAGUGAUAAGAUCCGUAGUCGAAAGGGAAACAGCCCAGACCACCAGUUAAGGUCCCCAAAUAUAUGUUAAGUGGAAAAGGAUGUGGGGUUGCUUAGACAACCAGGAUGUUGGCUUAGAAGCAGCCACCAUUGAAAGAGUGCGUAAUAGCUCACUGGUCGAGUGACCCCGCGCCGAAAAUGUACCGGGGCUAAACAUAUUACCGAAACUGUGGAUGAACCUCUUUAGAGGUUCGUGGUAGGA